Molecule: ribosomal RNA, 416 nt
Filed under: Enterobacter bugandensis
Lineage: Bacteria; Pseudomonadati; Pseudomonadota; Gammaproteobacteria; Enterobacterales; Enterobacteriaceae
Description: bacterial SSU rRNA
Rfam family: Bacterial small subunit ribosomal RNA
Source: RNAcentral
CGGCCGGGAACUCAAAGGAGACUGCCAGUGAUAAACUGGAGGAAGGUGGGGAUGACGUCAAGUCAUCAUGGCCCUUACGAGUAGGGCUACACACGUGCUACAAUGGCGCAUACAAAGAGAAGCGACCUCGCGAGAGCAAGCGGACCUCAUAAAGUGCGUCGUAGUCCGGAUUGGAGUCUGCAACUCGACUCCAUGAAGUCGGAAUCGCUAGUAAUCGUGGAUCAGAAUGCCACGGUGAAUACGUUCCCGGGCCUUGUACACACCGCCCGUCACACCAUGGGAGUGGGUUGCAAAAGAAGUAGGUAGCUUAACCUUCGGGAGGGCGCUUACCACUUUGUGAUUCAUGACUGGGGUGAAGUCGUAACAAGGUAACCGUAGGGGAACCUGCGGUUGGAUCACCUCCUUACCUUAAAGAA